Astyanax mexicanus (Mexican tetra) is the source of this 171-nucleotide small nucleolar RNA. Ensembl annotates it as small nucleolar RNA, C/D box 97. Its record names the gene SNORD97. The record is from Ensembl. Lineage: Eukaryota; Metazoa; Chordata; Actinopteri; Characiformes; Acestrorhamphidae.
GCACCCAGUGAUUAUAAAAAGACGCGUUAUUCUGAGGAAUUCUACUGGGUGUCAGUUUUCUACCUUUUUCUACUCUUUACUUUUCCUCCUUUUUUUUCUUCUCCUCUCUUCUCCUCUGUUCUGAAACUUGACAGCUGGUCCACUGACUGCAGUUAUGAAAAAUGAGGGUGC